RNAcentral lists this ribosomal RNA (389 nucleotides) under uncultured bacterium. RNAcentral's name for it is "bacterial SSU rRNA". It matches the Rfam family "Bacterial small subunit ribosomal RNA", at positions 30 to 418 of the family's 1533-position model. The record is from RNAcentral.
AUUGAACGCUGGCGGCAUGCCUUACACAUGCAAGUCGAUCGGCAGCACGGGAGCAAUCCUGGUGGCGAGUGGCGAACGGGUGAGUAAUAUAUCGGAACGUGCCCAGUCGUGGGGGAUAACGUAGCGAAAGCUACGCUAAUACCGCAUACGAUCUAUGGAUGAAAGCGGGGGAUCGCAAGACCUCGCGCGAUUGGAGCGGCCGAUAUCAGAUUAGGUAGUUGGUGAGGUAAAGGCUCACCAAGCCGACGAUCUGUAGCUGGUCUGAGAGGACGACCAGCCACACUGGGACUGAGACACGGCCCCAGACUCCUACGGGAGGCAGCAGUGGGGAAUUUUGGACAAUGGGCGCAAGCCUGAUCCAGCAAUGCCGCGUGCAGGAUGAAGGCCUC